AUGUCGAGGCCGAGCAGGAGCGACGCGCACCUGUCCCCCGUGGACGAGGCGGUGAGGGUGGACGAGGUGCGGGGGUACUACGACGGCGCGGCGCCCAAGCGCCACUCCAAGCCCUCCCGCAGCGACCACUCCGCCGUGUACACCGACGCGCUCGCCGGCCCCGGCGCCGACGGCUCCCACCCCGAGCUCGACAAGUUCCAGGACCUGGAAGCCCACUCCGAGAAACUGGUGUGCGAGGGCGGGAAGGCGGGCGAGGAGUUCGUGGAGACGGAGUACUACAAGGACCUCGGCUGCGUCGGCAAGCAGCAUCACACGACUGGCACGGGCUUCAUCAAGGUGGACAGGCCGGCCGGCGCCUCGUUCGAGCUCUCCGAAGACCCGGAUGCGACGGAGCGCCAUGCUUCCUCCAAGGGAAACCCCGCCACAAACGAGUGGAUCCCGUCAGCGGACACGGUGUAUCAGGAGGAGUCAGACAAGCCCAACAGAAGCGACAGCUGA
Molecule: ribosomal RNA, 498 nt
Filed under: Triticum aestivum (bread wheat)
Lineage: Eukaryota; Viridiplantae; Streptophyta; Magnoliopsida; Poales; Poaceae
Description: partial small subunit ribosomal RNA
Source: RNAcentral